AUGACAAAUCUCCUGGUCCUGAUGGUUUCAAUAAUUGAGUUCUACAAAGCUUGUUGGGAUAUCAUUGGUCCAGACAUCAGGCAACUAGUUCAUGAUUUCCAUGCAGGGAACAUCAAUUUGGAAAGCAUCAAUGCCUCAUACAUCACUCUCAUUCCAAAGGUGGAUUGCCCCAUACCACGAAAUGACUUCAGACCUAUAUCCUUGCUAAAUAGUUGCCUCAAAAUCAUCACCAACCUAUUGGCUAACAGGUUACAAAAAAUCAUCUUGAAGAUUGUGCACAUUAAUCAAUAUGGGUUUCUCAAGGACAGAGCAAUCCAAGAUUGCUUGGGUUGGGCAUAUGAAUACUUGCACCAGUCUAAAGAGCAAGUGGUUGUAUUCAAAUUGGAUUUUGAAAAGGCUUUUGACAAAAUUGAAUACCAAGCAAUUUUGGAAAUUCUCAAGGCUAAAGGUUUUGGUAGUAAAUGGAUUCACUGGAUGAAAAUGCUAUUUAAUUCGGCCUCAUCUUCUGUGAUACUCAAUGGAGUGCCAGGAAAGAAAUUUUAUUGUAAGAGAGGGGUCAGGCAAGGUGAUCCCCUCUCCCCUCCACUGUUUGUCCUUGCUGCAGACCUACUUCAAUCCAUCCUAAACAAAGCAAUGAGCAGAAACUUAGUUACACCCCCUUUAAAUGUGGGUAGCUGUCUGAUCAUUAUGAAGACAGACCCAGUUCAUUUGUUCAAUCUCAAGGCUCUGCUCAAUACUUUUGCUACUGCUACAGGUCUCAAGGUAAAUUAUCACAAAUCAAAUUUGAUUCACAUCAACUUAUCUGAAGACAGAUCUGACAUCAUGAUUAACACCUUGGGAUGCAAAAGAGGUUAUUUUCCAUUCACAUAUCUUGGAUUGCCACUUGGAGUGGUUAAACCCACUGUAGAGCAAUGCCUUCCUCUGGUGCAGAGAAUUGCAAAAAAACUAACGUGA
Molecule: ribosomal RNA, 954 nt
Filed under: Triticum aestivum (bread wheat)
Lineage: Eukaryota; Viridiplantae; Streptophyta; Magnoliopsida; Poales; Poaceae
Description: partial small subunit ribosomal RNA
Source: RNAcentral